This 253-nucleotide ribosomal RNA is filed under the name uncultured bacterium. RNAcentral's name for it is "partial 16S ribosomal RNA". It matches the Rfam family "Bacterial small subunit ribosomal RNA", at positions 524 to 776 of the family's 1533-position model. The record is from RNAcentral.
GACAGAGGGUGCAAGCGUUGUCCGGAAUUACUGGGCGUAAAGAGCUCGUAGGUGGUUUGUCGCGUUGUUCGUGAAAACCGGGGGCUUAACCCUCGGCGUGCGGGCGAUACGGGCAGACUUGAGUACUGCAGGGGAGACUGGAAUUCCUGGUGUAGCGGUGGAAUGCGCAGAUAUCAGGAGGAACACCGGUGGCGAAGGCGGGUCUCUGGGCAGUAACUGACGCUGAGGAGCGAAAGCGUGGGGAGCGAACAGG